RNAcentral lists this ribosomal RNA (492 nucleotides) under uncultured bacterium. RNAcentral's name for it is "partial 16S ribosomal RNA". It matches the Rfam family "Bacterial small subunit ribosomal RNA", at positions 29 to 507 of the family's 1533-position model. The record is from RNAcentral.
AUUGAACGCUGGCGGCAUGCUUUACACAUGCAAGUCGAACGGUAACAGGCCUUCGGGUGCUGACGAGUGGCGAACGGGCGGGUAAUGCAUCGGAACGUGCCCAGCGGUGGGGGUUAACGCAGCGAAAGCUGUCCUAAUACCGCAUGUGAUCUGAGGAUGAAAGCGGGGGACCAGGCAGCAAUGUUUGGCCUCGCGCCUCUGGAGCGGCCGAUGUCAGAUUAGGUAGUUGGUGGGGUAAAGGCCUACCAAGCCGACGAUCUGUAGCCGGUCUGAGAGGACGACAGGCGACAUGGGAACGGAGACAGGCCCAAGACGCCUGAGGGAGGCAGCAGUGGGGAACUUUGGACAAUAGGGGCAAGCCUGAUCCAGCAAUGCGGCGUGCGAGAAGAAGGCCUUCGGGUUGUAAACCGCGUUUGUACGGAACGAACCGGCUCUGGCUAAUACCUGGGGCUGAUGACGGUACCGUAAGAAUAAGCACCGGCUAACUACGUG